RNAcentral lists this ribosomal RNA (646 nucleotides) under Melanelixia villosella. RNAcentral's name for it is "partial small subunit ribosomal RNA". It matches the Rfam family "Bacterial small subunit ribosomal RNA", at positions 525 to 1117 of the family's 1533-position model. The record is from RNAcentral. Lineage: Eukaryota; Fungi; Ascomycota; Lecanoromycetes; Lecanorales; Parmeliaceae.
AGGUAGAAAGGCUAGUGUUAAUCCAUGUUUAAUUGGUUGUAAAGGGUACGUGAUGGCAAAUCAAGCUUUAGAUAAAAUAGAACUAAAGGAUUAAUUUGGUAGAGUUACUUANGAGGGGGUUUUAAAGUACUAUUGGUGUAGAGAUGAAAUUCUGUUAUACCUUUCUUCUAAGGGAGAGUGAUGGCACAGGUAUAGGNGAAGGCAUCCCCUUAUGUGAUAACUGACGUUGAGGGACGAAGGCUUUACAUAAUGAACAGGAUUAGUUACCCCAGUAGUCGAAGCAGAAAAUGAUGAAUGUCAUAGAUUAGAUAUAAGUUUAUUCUAUAAAUGAAAGUGUAAGCAUUCCACCUCAAGAGUAAUUUGGCAACAUUGGAACUGAAAUCAUUAGACCGUUUCUGAAACCAGUAGUGAAGUAUGUUGUUUAAUUUGAUGUCACGCAAAAAACCUUACCACAAUUUGAAUAUUUAUAUUUUUUUUUAUUGUUUUCUUAUUAACUUACUUCUAACAACAAAUAACAAGAUGAAAAAAAAGCAAUCUAAUCUAGAGGCAAUAAGAUAUAUUUACAAGCGUUGCACGGCUGUCUUCAGUUAAUGUCGCGAGACUCUGGUUAGUUCCAUGAAAUUAAGGUAAACCCGUGGGGAUUUUU